GCAUCGAUGAAGAACGUAGCGAAUUACGAUAUGUAAUGUGAAUUGCAGAAUUCAGUGAAUCAUCGAAUCUUUGAACGCACCUUGCGCUCUUUGGUAUUCCGAAGAGCAUGCCUGUUUGAGUAUCAU
RNAcentral lists this ribosomal RNA (126 nucleotides) under Waitea circinata. Its description in RNAcentral is "5.8S ribosomal RNA". It matches the Rfam family "5.8S ribosomal RNA", at positions 30 to 154 of the family's 154-position model. Rfam says of the family: 5.8S ribosomal RNA (5.8S rRNA) is a component of the large subunit of the eukaryotic ribosome. Lineage: Eukaryota; Fungi; Basidiomycota; Agaricomycetes; Corticiales; Corticiaceae. The record is from RNAcentral.